Molecule: ribosomal RNA, 301 nt
Filed under: uncultured bacterium
Lineage: Bacteria
Description: partial 16S ribosomal RNA
Rfam family: Bacterial small subunit ribosomal RNA
Source: RNAcentral
CAGCCACCGCGGUAAUACGGAGGGUGCAAGCGUUAAUCGGAAUUACUGGGCGUAAAGCGUGCGUAGGCGGUUCGUUAAGUCUGUUGUGAAAGCCCCGGGCUCAACCUGGGAAUGGCAAUGGAUACUGGCGAGCUAGAGUGUGUCAGAGGAUGGUGGAAUUCCCGGUGUAGAGGUGAAAUUCGUAGAUAUUGGGAAGAACACCGGUGGCGAAGGCGGCGACCUGGUUCAUAACUGACGCUGAGGCGCGAAAGCGUGGGGAGCAAACAGGAUUAGAUACCCGCGUAGUCCCUGUCUCUUAUAC